Long non-coding RNA from Mus musculus (house mouse), 2540 nucleotides. RefSeq annotates it as predicted gene, 36726. The record is from RefSeq and is a predicted model, not a curated record. The transcript is spliced from 3 exons. Lineage: Eukaryota; Metazoa; Chordata; Mammalia; Rodentia; Muridae.
GUCAUUAGGGAAACAUCAACUGUUCACAUUUCUUUCUCUCCUUUUUCUCUUUUUGGUUCCAAUGCAAAGCCAAACACUUCUAAAUAAAGCCUAAUUUUAACUAAAGAAGCCGUGGUCCUUAGAAGAGUGGCAUCCACCUGUCUCACUGAGAUGGAAAAAUCUGGCUUUGAUGCACUACUGCUGAGUGGCUCUAAUGUCCUUAGAGGUGGAAAAGUAUUGGUCUCCCUGUGCACUCAUUCCUGUGAGAACGGAGCUUCGUUCUGCUCUAUCAUCUAACAGCUAAGAGAAACUUCUACCUUCAGUAAGUCCGUGCGUGCCCAACAAACCUCAUGCAUUGGAAAGUAAGGAUGCCAUGAAGACGCACACAGCACCGCUUGGUCAUGAGUCUACAAGGGUUACUCUAAUAUUGAUGAACGUCCUACACGUGUGCAAGAACAGAAUAAAUUGAUUGGCAGACUAUUGUCAAGAUUCAUGACUACCAAAGGAAGCUCCUUAUGCCAGCUAUAGUCUUUGGCAGGAAGAAAGCUCUUAUCAUAUUUAUCUGGAAGUGAAGAUAUCCACCUAAACAAUUAAGAUACCUGGGCGGCACAGAACCCAUCAAAGAAGAGGAAAGGAUGUCACUUCUUGUCCUCUUCCAGAUUGGCCACCCGGAUGCAAGUAUGGAAACUGUUCUUAGAGACUGGCAUUCUCAACAGAUAAAUUUCUCUGAGUACCACUCCCUGCCUCGGAGCCGUCAGAAAGGAGACACAGCUAAGGAGCAGCCUUGCUAAGCUUGUGGAGGGAUUCAUCAUCUAUCAGGACCUGAGUCUAUAACAAAGGGUAAACUUCAGGGGCUGAUAGGAUUUGUUUGUUUUCCAAUUGGUAAAGUUUUUGCCUCACAAUCAGUCAAACCUAGGAGCUAAAUACAACCCCCAGGGGUGGCACAAAAACUCCAAGGCACAGCAGCAUCCAUUUGUAAGCCAAAUGCCAUGAAGACAGGAAGAGCCUGGUGUUUGCUGGCCUGCCAGCCUAGCCUAGCUGGUGACCUCCAGGUUCAAUGAGAGAGCCUCUUUGAAAGGAAGUGAACAGCACUCCUACAGGUGACCCCUAGAGCUGCCCUGCCCCCCACAUAGAUAUGCACACAAGUAUGCAUUCACCUGCAUACACAUAUGCAUCUGGACACACACACACACACACACACACACAGAGAGAGAGAGAGAGAGAGAGAGAGAGAGAGAGAGAGAGAGAGACUUCAGGCUUUGAAAGCAUAGUGACCAUUAAGCACCAAGUAACUUGGAUUAUUUGGCACAGAGAAUUAUCUUUAAAGAGCCACAUGGGAGUUGCCAUGGUUUCUCGGCACCUUUAUUAGGGCUGACGAUCUAGAGAGGAACCUUUGUUUCACAAAGCUCUUGUCAAUUGCUAGAAGUGGUUUUGGAGGUACACACUAAAUCUCAGUGUAAUGAAGUCUAGUUCAACUAGGACAAGGGAACCAAAGGUCAGUAGGAGACUCCAUAUGUCACAGGCCAAGGAUUCUAUGUAUGCCAAUAAAUAAGAAGUACACAUAAGAAUGUCUUGAAAGAACACAUAUAUACAUAUACACAUCCACAUACAUACACACACACACACAUAUACAUAGUCUUCUCUCUGUAUUUCAUGGCCUUAAGGUCAGCAAACCUCACAUUUCUUUUUGGAAGUAAAACCAUUUCUGUACCGAAUGAACAUGAAUAGACUUUAAUUCCUUGCCAUCAUUUGUUAAAUAAUAUAGUAGAGCUAUCUAAAUAUUAUUAAUCAUUAAUUAAACAUAACAUAUUCACAUUAUACUAAGUAUUACAAGUAAUCUAGACAUGAUUCAAAGUAAACAGGAUGUUGUGUAUAGGUUCUGUGCGAAUCCUGUACUGCUUUAUAUAAGAGACUUGACUCUAUAAGGGCCUGGAUAUAGACAUGGUCCUGGCACCAAACCCUACAGAUAAGGGAAGACAACGCCAUCUUUAUGGAUAUUUAUAUCUUUACUCUUAGACUUUUUAUUCGUAAGGAGUUUGCUCAGGUGCAAGACUAAGUGUAUUUUCUCUCCCUUCGCCUGCAUUAUGUAAGUUCAUAAAAGUAUAAAACAGACAAUGUCCAAACAACUCUUUUUCAGUCUUAACUCGGUUCUUAAAAAUUCAUCCCUCUUAUAUUUGCUUUAAUGGCUGUGCAGCAUAAAUAUGCAUGGUGUGCAGCCACGUAUAUUCUCACACCUUCUUGGAGUCUAACAACGGGAGCCUUUUGACCUUGGUCUGAAGAGGAAAAAGUUACUGAAAUGCCUAAGGACAGAAGCGACAGUCUCGUACUUUGAAUUACAGAGGAAAAUGAGGAAGUCCUUCCCAAGAGUGAAUUCCUCAACAACAGUUUAGAUUCCUGCCUAAGAGGAAUGCUUUGUAAAUUACAUCUGAAAACAAUGACUUCUCUUUUCUUUGUACAAGUUUUAACAAGAAUAAUGCAUAUCUGCUUACCCUAAACCUGUAAAAGGUAAAACAGGAGGCCGAUGUAGCCUGACUUACCUGGAACUAUUAUGCUAAUAAACA